AUUGAACGCUGGCGGCAUGCCUUACACAUGCAAGUCGAACGGUAACGCGGGGCAACCUGGCGACGAGUGGCGAACGGGUGAGUAAUGCAUCGGAACGUGCACAGUAGUGGGGGAUAGCCCGGCGAAAGCCGGAUUAAUACCGCAUACGACCUACGGGUGAAAGGGGGGGAUCGCAAGACCUCUCGCUAUUGGAGCGGCCGAUGUCAGAUUAGGUAGUUGGUGGGGUAAAGGCCUACCACGCCGACGAUCUGUAGCUGGUCUGAGGGGACGACCAGCCACACUGGGACUGAGACACGGCCCAGACUCCUACGGGAGGCAGCAGUGGGGAAUUUUGGACAAUGGGCGCAAGCCUGAUCCAGCCAUGCCGCGUGCGGGAAGAAGGCCUUCGGGUUGUAAACCGCUUUUGUCAGGGAAGAAAUCUUCUGGGUUAAUACCUCGGGAGGAUGACGGUACCUGAAGAAUAAGCACCGGCUAACUACGUGCCAGCCGCCGCCGUAA
Molecule: ribosomal RNA, 498 nt
Filed under: uncultured bacterium
Lineage: Bacteria
Description: partial 16S ribosomal RNA
Rfam family: Bacterial small subunit ribosomal RNA
Source: RNAcentral